UUUUUUUGAGGGAAGGAGGGAGUACUGAGGAUUUAACCCAAAGACACUUAACCACUAAGGUAUGUCUUUGUUGAGACAGGGUCUCACUAAGUUGCUGAGGCUGGCCCCAAACUUAGAAUCCUCCAGCCUCAGCCUCCUGCGUCUCUGCAAUUACAGGAAUGCACCACCAUGCCCUGUUAAACCAUUGAAUCUUGAAUCUCUGAUGCUCUUUUUGACAAUAUCCUGUUCAGUGACACAGAGCUGAUUAGUGGCAGAGCUAGAAAGAAACCCCUGGCACCCUUUUGCCACUAAACUGCUACUCUAGGCACAGAGCAGUGGUUUUAUUGAGUAAGGUUCCAAGACUAGCAGCAUCAGCAUUAGCUGGGAAUUUGUUAGAAAAGCAAAUUUUCAUGCUCUGCCUCAUACCCAGCUGAUUUUCACGAUAAAGUUUGUAAACCACUGGCAAAAGGGAAUAAGGGUAAGUGUGGUGAUGUAUGCCUUAUAAUCCGAGCAACAGGGGAGGCUGAGGCAGGAAGAUCACAAAUUUGAGGCCAGCCUCUGCAAUUUAGCGCAAAACUCUGUCUCAAAAAUAAAAGGGCUGGGGAUUAGCCCACAGGUAGAGUGGUCCUCACGAGGUUCAAACUCCAGUACUCCCAAAAGAAAAAAAGGAGGCCUGCUGAGCCUGUGACACACACACACACACACUAAUAAUCCCAGCAAUUUGGGAGGCCUGAGGCAGGAGGAUUCCAAGUUCAAGGCUGGCCAGGACAAUUUAGUGGAACUGUCUCAAAAAGAUUUUUAAGAGGACUGGGGAUGUACUUCAGUGGCAAAAUGUCCCUUGGUUCAAUCCCCAGUCCUGGAAAGAGAAUGAAACCAAAUGGGUGGCAGGAUGAACUGGGAAGGAGCUGAGACAAAACCUAUGCUCUUUCAGUUUCCUCAUUUGGGUUUUUUUACUUUCAUUUUUUUUUUUAAAUACUGGGGUUUGAACAUAGGGG
Molecule: long non-coding RNA, 974 nt
Filed under: Marmota monax (woodchuck)
Lineage: Eukaryota; Metazoa; Chordata; Mammalia; Rodentia; Sciuridae
Source: RNAcentral